GCUCUAUACCCUUUGUGACAUACCUAACCGUUGCUUCGGCGGGCAGGGGAAGCCUCUCGCGGGCCUCCCCUCCCGGCGCCGGCCCCCACCGCGGGGACGGGGCGCCCGCCGGAGGAAACCAAACUCUAUUUACACGACGUCUCUUCUGAGUGGCACAAGCAAAUAAUUAAAACUUUUAACAACGGAUCUCUUGGUUCUGGCAUCGAUGAAGAACGCAGCGAAAUGCGAUAAGUAAUGUGAAUUGCAGAAUUCAGUGAAUCAUCGAAUCUUUGAACGCACAUUGCGCUCGCCAGCAUUCUGGCGAGCAUGCCUGUUCGAGCGUCAUUUCAACCCUCAAGCACCGCUUGGUUUUGGGGCCCCACGGCACACGUGGGCCCUUAAAGGUAGUGGCGGACCCUCCCGGAGCCUCCUUUGCGUAGUAACUAACGUCUCGCACUGGGAUCCGGAGGGACUCUUGCCGUAAAACCCCCCAAUUCUUUACAGGUUGACCUCGGAUCAGGUAGGAAUACCCGCUGAACUUAAGCAUAUC
Molecule: ribosomal RNA, 529 nt
Filed under: Colletotrichum melonis
Lineage: Eukaryota; Fungi; Ascomycota; Sordariomycetes; Glomerellales; Glomerellaceae
Also listed under: 1 other name
Description: eukaryotic LSU rRNA
Rfam family: 5.8S ribosomal RNA (bases 171-324)
Source: RNAcentral